RNAcentral lists this long non-coding RNA (5818 nucleotides) under Sus scrofa (pig). RNAcentral's name for it is "lncRNA (ENSSSCG00005017355.1)". Lineage: Eukaryota; Metazoa; Chordata; Mammalia; Artiodactyla; Suidae. The record is from RNAcentral.
CAAAUAGAGAGGGAGGGAAGGAAGGGAAGAUUUUUCUACUGAUUUAUGAAAGGUUCAGUCCUCCAGUGCAUUUGGAGAUGCUGCAUCCAAGUAGAGAGGGCAUGGAGUGUGGCUGUGGUAAAGUACUUUGCAGUUAAAAUAUGAGUCUCUGUGUAGGUGGGCUUGGAGAAAUGCUUUUAGGAAUGAGUUAGAAAAUGAGAAUUGGCUGCAGCUAGGUCAUGUAACAGGGCACUUUGCAGAGACACUAGGAAGCCAGGCAGUUUAUUAAUGAGAAGAAUGCUGCCCUGUAGCACUGCUUCCUACAGCUACUUGUAGGUGGAAUUCCUUGACCAUAAUCUUUGGGAUAAUCUUCUAGAGAACUCUUACACAAUGGUACAGAAAAGAUCUGACUAUGAAAUUACAAGUUUCAUGCUGAAUAUUAGAGGAACAACUCUUAUACAGGUGAUUGCUUAUCACAGGACAAAAGAAGACAGAGUAGGGUAGAAAAUGCUGGGCUACAAAUAAUUUGCAAAUAGUAGCAGAAAAAAUGGAAACAUGAGACUGAAAAUUACAUGAGCACUGUCCAUUCUCCAGUAGCAGUUCAUUAAAAUAUCAUUUAACUUUCUGUACAUCUUAUUUUCUGUCCCAGAAUUUUCUAGCUGUUUUUGAUGAAAAUCAACUUUGGCUGCUAAGGAGGGUCUCCUUCAUUUUUCAUGUGAACUUCAAUUACAGUCACAUGAUUUUCACACAAUGUAAAAUAAGAAAAUAACAGUAAAACCAUUCAUGAAACCGAAAAUAUCUCUAGCGAUUUGAGGGAAAAGGAAAUAAAAUUUAUUUUUAAAAUGUUUUAAUCUGAGUAAGCUGUUAGAUCUCAUUUUGAGUAUAGAAAAUUUAAAUUAGAGUUGACUCCAUUAAAGAGUCUAAGCGGCUGCAGUAUAUGAAUUAAGAUAAAAGAAGGCAUAGUGGUUAUUUUACAUAAAAAUGAAAAUAUAUGGGUUUCUAGAUAUUCUUGGUGGACUGUUUUCUUUCAGUAGAUCUCCUCUUGCCAUACAAAUACAGUCAUUUAUUUUUUCUUGGGAGCAUUUAUAAAAUAUUUACUAUAAUCUCUAUAACACUUAAAUUAAUGUGUUUUUAUUCAUAUUUUAUCUUAUUCAAAAGAUAACUUAAGCAGCUUAUAAAAAUAUAUUACAAGACCUUGACAACUAGUCAUACUUUUGUGAUGAUUGAAAGAUAUCUAAGUCUACCAAAACCACUCCCCACCUCCUCCACGUAUUAUUCUUGUUAUUCAAAAAUGUCAUCUUGGUGAUUGCUCUCUGCAUGAGUGUUGUCAAUGGAUAAGGACAGCACUUGCAAGUCUUGGUACCAUCUCCUUGUUUUUAAUGCUGUCCUUCUGCCACAAAUAGAACCAAACCAACUCACCUGUCCUCGCAGAUAUGGAUAUGCUGUCUGCUGCUGCUUUGGUCAAACAGAACAUGCCCAUAGGUGGUUAUUUCAAAUUUAGUCUUAAUGACUUUAAAGCCUUCCUCUGACCUAACUAAUCUCACUCAUUCACCUCUCUACCCACAAAGUAAAGUUUUCCAGUGUGGGUAAUCUGCCUCUCCCUUUCCUCAGUCAACACACAUUUAUUCAGGACACCUCUCCUGAGCGUGAUGGUAGGAACAACAGAAUUCGGUCGGAUAAACGCACAUCGGCUUAUUAACGACUUGAGCUGGUCUUGGAGGAAAAGAAGCAUUUGAGUUGAAUUCCUUCUUGUAUGUGAAAGACUAUGAAGGUCCUAAAACAAAGAUAUCUGAAAUUUAGAAAUGUUUAAUAAACAGAUGUCUUUGUAAUGGAUAGAAAUUCAGGAAGUAUGACACACUGAUGGGGAAAUUUUCUGGCAUGGUGGUCAGUUGAGUGUAGUCAUCCUGGGGGGAUAAGAUUGGUUUAAGAGUCUUGGCUUAAUAUUAGUGUCUGUCUCUGUAGCUGCUUGACUUGUUCAUUCUUUCUGCUGAAGUCACAACAGUUCAGCUGGGCUUCCACCAUGAAAGUAAUAAGUCUACAGACCAAGUUGUAUUGUCGUUAGUGUUCUAAUCAGCCAGGGUACACUUACCACUCACAUUUCAGGUAUUUCCAAAUUAUAGGGAAUAUUACAGCUAUUGCCAGGGUGAGAAAUGCAGAAGAGAUAUGUCUUGGUCCACUGUUGCAACCAUCAUAUGAAACACAAACCUUGGCUAGUGGUAGCUAUAAUCAAGAAGAACUGAUAGAGACUGACUCACUGAUUCCUCUGGCUUUUGGCCUAAAUCUAGUCAAUCAAAAAAAAGGUUUCCAAGUAUAAAAUACCAUACCAUAUGUUGACUAAGCAUAUGUUUUGAGGCUUAAAAGUCAUUGGAGAUUUCAUAUUCCUAACUUUGGUAAGUUGCUUUUCCUGGGUAAUAUUAUUUUCUUAGUUUUUGUAAAUAUGCUUCCUCAAUAUUGGGGAUCUCUAAAUUACAAAAUUUUCCCAAUUCUUUGUGAUUGUUUAAGGCUAAAUAAUGCAUUUGUUGUUAUAAUAUAAUGUACCUUUGCAAAAAUAGUGGUAAUUAAUUUCAUCUAAAAAUUAAUGUAGAAGACCUCCUUUGUUUCCAAUCCUGUGCUAGGUGCUAGACUGAAUUUGUAGACUUGAAUCUGUAGCUUAUAUUGUUUAUAUCCUUUUUUAUUUUUCUAUUUCAUUACAAAUAAAGUGGUUGGACAUUCCUGCAAUUUUCCACAGUUCAUAGAUAGUUAAGUGAUAUCUAGAUAGAUAGAUGGAUGGAUGUAUAGAUAGAUAGAUAAUGUAGUACCUUUUAGAAUUUAUGAUAUGUGGCAAAUCUGAAUAGAAUGUCAGAAAGGAGAGAAAUUUAAAAGCAGCACAACCAAGCAAGCUACCUUUUUUUUUCAUUUUCAAAAUAAUUUUUCAGGUCUAGGGAAAUUUUGACAUGAGUUAAAACCUUUCUCAACUUAGUGAACCAAACUUAAUUCAGAAGAUCACUCUGAAUCUUAUGGAUCAUGACAGUAUCAGAGGGGCUGUAUUUUUACAUGGAUAAACCAUUUCAGGAGAAUUUCUACAAUGUAUUAGACACAAACAUAUCUUUCACUUUCAGACGCUAAUGUUUUAUCUUGCUCCCUUGAUAUAUGUUCAGUACAUGCAUGUAUUUUGGCCUUAUAAGAAAUAUCUACUUUCAAAUAACAUUACAUUGUCUGCACAUUAGCUUAUCCGAAUAUGCUGUAAAGCAGAGUCUAUCCCGUGCUUCAGCGUUCAUUUUCUUUGGAGAACGUCUCAUUUACAGCUUUAGUUUGCCAUAGGGGAAAUGAUGGGGUGUGUUAAGCUCCUUCAGUGGUGAUAGUUAUAUUUAUUUGGGGACUUAUUGUGUUUUACUUUUUUUAUAGCUUUGCAUAAGAGAACCUCAAAUGUACUUCUCUUCUUACUUCCCUGGGGUAGGCAGCAGAAGAUAUGGAGAUUCAGAGCCUUAAGACAGCAAAAGGGCAAUGAUGGGAGGAGCAGCAUCUAAUAGACAAUUACAGGACAAGUGCCAUUGUUGUACAUGCAUUUUCCCUCAUUCAGGCAAUUCAUGCACAAAUUAGAAACUAGUUUUUGUUUUUGUUUGUCUCUUAGUGCUAAUCCCAGUUGUGAAGAGUAAAGAGGCACUUUCCAUCCCUUUGCCAAACAUUUCCUUUCAGAGAACAUGGGAAAUAUUCAGAGUUAUUGCUAUAAGUUUUGCUUGAGUGCUUAUUUUUUAAUUCAUAUUUAUACCGUGCUUUUUUACACAAAGGACUCGAGGCAUUCUCUAGAAUCUGUAAAAAAAUGAAUAUAUGUUAAUUAGCUUACAUCCAGUUAUUUUAAAUUUAACAAUACUUAGUUUGUACUGGUUUGUUUUAUAAUGCAAUUUACAAUACUUUUAUGGUAUAUUUGGUAAGUGGUCUUUAAGAUACAGCCAUGUAUAUUUUAAUUAUAUAUGAAUUUAUGUAGAAUAAUAAAAUACAGUAGAUAUUUUCUGCAAUGUAAAUUUAUAUUUGAUGAUCCUGACUCACAACUGGGAGAUGAAGUAAUGCGGAUCAGCCAAAGCAUGCAGAUAUAUGAAUUUAUUAAAUAAUCUGUAUUUCUGUAAUUCUGAUUGCAUAGGAUGACAUCUUUAAAAUUAGAAGCUAAUUUUUCAGAAAACAUGAAAUUUAAUUUUUUUCAGCCUUUUCAAUGUGCAUUGAAUCACUGUUAUCAAAAUAAUUUUAUUUUAAAUAUGCUUGCCUAGAAUAUUUUAUCACGCCUCUGCUUUUUCCUGAAGUUAUUCCCUUUAUAGAUCACAUGAUAGCAAAUCACCUUUCACCAAUCAUGCAAAGCAAAAGAUCUUCAAAAUUCUAAGCAUUUAUCCCUCAUGAGAGAUGUUACCUCGUGCUGUUGGAUCUUUCCAUGCAAAUUAGGUUUCUUCCUCAUUCUACAUCAGCAUUGAAAGAAAUUAAAGAAAAGAAAAUAUAAAACUUGCCAGCUGGAGAUAGUCGUGUUAAAUAUUUUGCCCUUUUGUGUUCUUGCAUCUGUAUCCUUCCAUCAAAAACAAAAUAAUCUUUGAAGUUUUGUGAAACUUCAAGAAGAAAAAAAUUAAAAGGAGAAAAAAAAUAAGGUUUUCCUAAAUUCAGAAGCAGCUACAGCCAGAUAUUAUGGGUAAUUUUCAUGCACUAUCCAGACAGGAUGGCUGUUUUCAUCCAAAAGUAUUUCUGUGGAGUGAAAGGACAUUUUUCUCUUGGAAUCUUUAAGGUAAUUAAUUUUCAGUGCACACUGAUGAUUUAGGUGGAUAACCUGGCCUUGUUAAACAUGUACGCUGUUUCUGACCAUCAACAUUAUAACUCAUCAGACUUUCCAAAGCAAAAGCUGUUUAAAUCAAAGGAUUUCGUUGCAUAUCCCUGACUGCUGCUGGCUAGAUGUCAGAGCUUGGAAGAUACUCUCUAAGUAAUUGUAAAGCACUGUUCUCCAAUCAGCAUACAUUACUGCAGAGCAAGAACUACACCGUCGGAAUUUCUAUUGAAGUUUUAACUCAGUCAUUUGAACUUUGAGUCAUACAUACUUAAAUGCCUGUACUGGAUUAAAAGCAUAUUACCUUCUUCCCUUUACAUAAUGGCGUUCAGGACAAAAAUACACUCUUUUGAGUUCUCGAGUUAGACAUUAAGGAUAAUUGCCAUUAUUUUUGCAACAGGAUUUAAUACCCAUAAACUGUUUCAUGUUAGCUUCCAUAUGCAAAGUAUAUAAUCUUUAUGGGACAGAGGAAAUUGGGAUCCUUUGAAUGUGAGAGUAAAGGAAGAGAAAUACAGUUAGUAGUUUGGUUUGGUUUAGUCUUAAUUUUUUUUUUUUUUGAGGGGAAUGGGAUGUGAAUUGAGUAAGGAAGAUAUAGAGAUAUAUGUAUAUAUAUGUAUGUAAAUAUAUAUAUGUAUAUAUAUGUAUGUAUGUAUGUAUGUAUGUAUUGCUUCCAACUUUCAGGAGUAGAAGUAGGGACUGUUUGAAUACAGAACAUUUCUGGGAAAACAGGAGAAAUUAGUGACCCUGGCUGGCCCAGGAAUGGAAACAAGGCAUGAGUCUUUUCUCUCAAUAGCCUCCCAUACCCUUUGAACUUAGAAUGAGGGGAAUGUUAGUUUUUUAAAAAAUAAACAUGAAAAAAAAAAGAGUAGAAGUAGGAAAUCACAUAGAGAACCUUUAUCAACUUUCAUACAAAGUUUUUUAUGAUUCAUAGUUGAAAAGAAAGGAGUUCUCUUAUGGCACAACAGGUUAAGGAUCUAGUGUUGUCACUGCAGCAGCAGGGGUCGCUGCUGUGACCAUGGGCUCCAUUCCUAAUCCAGAACUUCCACAUACUGCAGGUGUGGC